This 1431-nucleotide ribosomal RNA is filed under the name Triticum aestivum (bread wheat). Its description in RNAcentral is "partial small subunit ribosomal RNA". The record is from RNAcentral. Lineage: Eukaryota; Viridiplantae; Streptophyta; Magnoliopsida; Poales; Poaceae.
AUGGAUACGUGGUGGACGUGGCGGAGGAAACGUCGAGCCGCAACGACAUGUCUCACUUCCGCGUCUGGCUUCGCACGGCGGACAUCUGCCGCAUUCCGUCCCGCAAGCUCCUCUUCGUGGAGGAGCCGGCCCUGCCUCCCGCGCCGGCGGCGCGGAGCCGACCGCGGGUGUUCUCUCGGGCCCGUGCCGGCACUCUGCGAUCCCAUCGAAAUCCGUCAGGUGGGCGACCUCCCGGCGGCGCCUCGCCCACCGCAGCCUCCCUCUUCGCCACGGCCGCCUCCGCCACCUUCCCCGCCGUCUGAUGACGGCCAUGGCCCCGAUGCUGGCUCGUCAGGCCGCUGGAUGGAGGGGGAUGGCUUUUCUGCGAGGCGCGUAGUGGAGUCCAACGGUGGAUAUGUCCGGCGCUCCUACGCCGGAAAGGUGGACGCGGCGCCGCACCAUCGCCGGCAUGCACUCGCCGGCGCUGAAGGUGGUGACACCACGCCUUGUGGGGCUGGCUCCAUGGGCACGCCAGACUGCGCUGCUAUGGGGCCUGCUGAGACCAUGCGGGCUUUGACCAUAGUGGACUCUGGGGGCUGGUCCCAGGAAUCGCGGGUACGGGCUGACCCCGGGCCCGCCUCGUGCCAUGCAUCGGUGGAUGUUAUAGAUCUGAUGGAUGGCGGCCGCUCCCCCUCUGCGUGCAGCGGCUCGUCCAUCCAAUCCGCGAAGGUGGGCAGUAUGAUUGCUGCCCUACGUGGCAGUUCGGCAGGGGCGCGUGCGCGCUCACGGGAUGCCUCUGCUGCCUCCUGGUCGGCCUCCUGGUCGGUUCGGAGCACUGGUUCGGGUGGGGUCCGUCUCUCAGUUGACCUUGGCCUCGCUUUUGAGGCCUCGGUAUCCCCGCUGCAUGCGCACUGCUCCCCCCAGGCGGACCCACAUGAUCUUUCACCAAUAAGCACCCAUGCAGGCCUGGCCCACCCGGCUACACCCCCAUGCAGCAACCCAUUUGAUCCUCCCAGCGGAGCUGCUGCGUCACCCCAUAUGCUGGUUCCCCCCGCUCGGGCUGCUGCAACCAGCCCGUCUACCCCGCCUACCGUGCUCGAGCAGGUCCUAACGCAGAUUCGUGAACACAUACAUGCCCCCCUUCUGCCGCUCCUUGACGUGCAGCGUGGCCGGCGCAAGCGGCCAAUCAUUCCGGACGAGCUUUGCCGCCGCAGUGCAAGAUUGCAACAGAGUGCCAAGUCCUUGCCGUCGUCAUACAUCAAGCGGGCCCAACGGGUCUUGAUGUCCAAGAUGGGCAUCUGUGAGAUAGAGAAUGAGCCGCCGGUGGACUGUUUGCAGAAGUAUGCGCAGCUGUUUCGGAGGCCGCUGCCUCAACAACGCAUCGACGCCCUGGCGAGGCUUUUCUCCCUAGACGUCCCCCUUGAGGAGUCCUCGCUGUCUCUAGAAUCCUAG